CCCUUAGAGUUUGAUCCUGGCUCAGAUUGAACGCUGGCGGCAGGCCUAACACAUGCAAGUCGAGCGGUAACAGAUUGAUAGCUUGCUAUCAAUGCUGACGAGCGGCGGACGGGUGAGUAAUGCCUGGGAAUAUGCCCUGAUGUGGGGGAUAACUAUUGGAAACGAUAGCUAAUACCGCAUAAUCUCUUCGGAGCAAAGAGGGGGACCUUCGGGCCUCUCGCGUCAGGAUUAGCCCAGGUGGGAUUAGCUUGUUGGUGGGGUAAUGGCUCACCAAGGCAACGAUCCCUAGCUGGUCUGAGAGGAUGAUCAGCCACACUGGAACUGAGACACGGGGGAGACUCCUACGGGAGGCAGCAGUGGGGAAUAUUGCACAAUGGGGGAAACCCUGAUGCAGCCAUGCCGCGUGUAUGAAGAAGGCCUUCGGGUUGUAAAGUACUUUCAGUUGUGAGGAAGGCAGUAAAGUUAAUAGCUUUGCUGUUUGACGUUAGCAACAGAAGAAGCACCGGCUAACUCCGUGCCAGCAGCCGCGGUAAUACGGAGGGUGCGAGCGUUAAUCAGAAUUACUGGGCGUAAAGCGCAUGCAGGUGGUUUGUUAAGCAAGAUGUGAAAGCCCGGGGGCUCAACCUCGGAACA
Molecule: ribosomal RNA, 633 nt
Filed under: uncultured Pseudoalteromonas sp.
Lineage: Bacteria; Pseudomonadati; Pseudomonadota; Gammaproteobacteria; Alteromonadales; Pseudoalteromonadaceae
Description: bacterial SSU rRNA
Rfam family: Bacterial small subunit ribosomal RNA
Source: RNAcentral